Molecule: ribosomal RNA, 426 nt
Filed under: uncultured prokaryote
Description: bacterial SSU rRNA
Rfam family: Bacterial small subunit ribosomal RNA
Source: RNAcentral
UGGGGAAUUUUCCGCAAUGGGCGCAAGCCUGACGGAGCAAUACCGCGUGAGGGAGGAAGGCUUUUGGGUUGUAAACCUCUUUUCUCUGUGAAGAAGAUCUGACGGUAGCAGAGGAAUCAGCAUCGGCUAACUCCGUGCCAGCAGCCGCGGUAAGACGGAGGAUGCAAGCGUUAUCCGGAAUUAUUGGGCGUAAAGCGUCCGUAGGCGGUUGUUUAAGUCAGUUGUUAAAGACUACAGCUCAACUGUGGGAGAGCAACUGAAACUGAAUGACUAGAGUAUGGUAGGGGUAGAGGGAAUUCCUAGUGUAGCGGUGAAAUGCGUAGAUAUUAGGAAGAACACCAGUGGCGAAGGCGCUCUACUGGGCCAAGACUGACGCUGAUGGACGAAAGCUAGGGGAGCGAAAGGGAUUAGAUACCCCUGUAGUCC